This 174-nucleotide ribosomal RNA is filed under the name uncultured bacterium. RNAcentral's name for it is "partial 16S ribosomal RNA". The record is from RNAcentral.
AUUACCGCGGCUGCUGGCACGUAGUUGGCCGGUCCUUCUUCUAUAGGUACCGUCACUUACGCUUCGUCCCUAUUGAAAGAGGUUUACAACCCGAAGGCCGUCAUCCCUCACGCGGCGUCGCUGCAUCAGGCUUUCGCCCAUUGUGCAAUAUUCCCCACUGCUGCCUCCCGUAGG